RNAcentral lists this ribosomal RNA (1654 nucleotides) under Klebsiella pneumoniae. RNAcentral describes it as "partial 23S ribosomal RNA". It matches the Rfam family "Bacterial large subunit ribosomal RNA", at positions 1292 to 2925 of the family's 2925-position model. The record is from RNAcentral. Lineage: Bacteria; Pseudomonadati; Pseudomonadota; Gammaproteobacteria; Enterobacterales; Enterobacteriaceae.
GAAUGCUGACAUAAGUAACGAUAAAGCGGGUGAAAAGCCCGCUCGCCGGAAGACCAAGGGUUCCUGUCCAACGUUAAUCGGGGCAGGGUGAGUCGACCCCUAAGGCGAGGCCGAAAGGCGUAGUCGAUGGGAAACAGGUUAAUAUUCCUGUACUUGGUGUUACUGCGAAGGGGGGACGGAGAAGGCUAUGUUAGCCGGGCGACGGUUGUCCCGGUUUAAGCAUGUAGGCUGGUUAUCCAGGCAAAUCCGGAUAAUCAAGGCUGAGGUGUGAUGACGAGGCACUACGGUGCUGAAGUAACAAAUGCCCUGCUUCCAGGAAAAGCCUCUAAGCAUCAGGUAACAUUGAAUCGUACCCCAAACCGACACAGGUGGUCAGGUAGAGAAUACCAAGGCGCUUGAGAGAACUCGGGUGAAGGAACUAGGCAAAAUGGUGCCGUAACUUCGGGAGAAGGCACGCUGGUGUGUAGGUGAAGUCCCUGCGGAUGGAGCUGAGACCAGUCGAAGAUACCAGCUGGCUGCAACUGUUUAUUAAAAACACAGCACUGUGCAAACACGAAAGUGGACGUAUACGGUGUGACGCCUGCCCGGUGCCGGAAGGUUAAUUGAUGGGGUUAUCCGUAAGGAGAAGCUCUUGAUCGAAGCCCCGGUAAACGGCGGCCGUAACUAUAACGGUCCUAAGGUAGCGAAAUUCCUUGUCGGGUAAGUUCCGACCUGCACGAAUGGCGUAAUGAUGGCCAGGCUGUCUCCACCCGAGACUCAGUGAAAUUGAACUCGCUGUGAAGAUGCAGUGUACCCGCGGCAAGACGGAAAGACCCCGUGAACCUUUACUAUAGCUUGACACUGAACAUUGAGCCUUGAUGUGUAGGAUAGGUGGGAGGCUUUGAAGCGUGGACGCCAGUCUGCGUGGAGCCAACCUUGAAAUACCACCCUUUAAUGUUUGAUGUUCUAACGUUGGCCCCUGACCGGGGUUGCGGACAGUGUCUGGUGGGUAGUUUGACUGGGGCGGUCUCCUCCCAAAGCGUAACGGAGGAGCACGAAGGUUAGCUAAUCCUGGUCGGACAUCAGGAGGUUAGUGCAAUGGCAUAAGCUAGCUUGACUGCGAGCGUGACGGCGCGAGCAGGUGCGAAAGCAGGUCAUAGUGAUCCGGUGGUUCUGAAUGGAAGGGCCAUCGCUCAACGGAUAAAAGGUACUCCGGGGAUAACAGGCUGAUACCGCCCAAGAGUUCAUAUCGACGGCGGUGUUUGGCACCUCGAUGUCGGCUCAUCACAUCCUGGGGCUGAAGUAGGUCCCAAGGGUAUGGCUGUUCGCCAUUUAAAGUGGUACGCGAGCUGGGUUUAGAACGUCGUGAGACAGUUCGGUCCCUAUCUGCCGUGGGCGCUGGAGAAUUGAGGGGGGCUGCUCCUAGUACGAGAGGACCGGAGUGGACGCAUCACUGGUGUUCGGGUUGUCAUGCCAAUGGCACUGCCCGGUAGCUAAAUGCGGAAGAGAUAAGUGCUGAAAGCAUCUAAGCACGAAACUUGCCCCGAGAUGAGUUCUCCCUGAGACUUUAAGUCUCCUGAAGGAACGUUGAAGACGACGACGUUGAUAGGCCGGGUGUGUAAGCGCAGCGAUGCGUUGAGCUAACCGGUACUAAUGAACCGUGAGGCUUAACCUU